RNAcentral lists this small nuclear RNA (197 nucleotides) under Anaeromyces robustus. RNAcentral describes it as "U2 spliceosomal RNA". It matches the Rfam family "U2 spliceosomal RNA". Rfam says of the family: U2 is a small nuclear RNA (snRNA) component of the spliceosome (involved in pre-mRNA splicing). The record is from Rfam by way of RNAcentral. Lineage: Eukaryota; Fungi; Neocallimastigomycota; Neocallimastigomycetes; Neocallimastigales; Neocallimastigaceae.
GUCCACUCAGGUCUUUUGGCUAGGACAAAGUGUAGUAUCUGUUCUUUUCAGUGUGAUAACUGAAACGAGGUAUUAUAAAUACCUCAUUGUUGUCUUACUUAUUUUUUAAACAUAAGUUAAAGAUUUUCAUAGCUUGCUAUGAGCUUUAACAAUGGUAUUCUUAGUAUUGCACUAUUUCUAAGUUAUGCCAAAAUAUU